RNAcentral lists this unclassified non-coding RNA (233 nucleotides) under Hevea brasiliensis (rubber tree). Lineage: Eukaryota; Viridiplantae; Streptophyta; Magnoliopsida; Malpighiales; Euphorbiaceae. The record is from RNAcentral.
GGAAAUUAAUCAGAUAGCUUUAAGGUCAAAUGUUGGAGAGAGACUACCUAUCACUAAACCCUCUAAAACUAGAUAAGGUUUUAAAUAUGAACAACACCUACUGCCUACUUAUUAAAAGCACACACAUAGUUGACAUCCUCAACAUUCAUGGAUUAUCAAACACAAAACUAUAAAAUUAUGGGUGUUGCAUCAUACAAUGUCAAGCAUUGUAACAGUAAACUUUGGUGAAAAUU